UACGGAGGAUCCAAGCGUUAUCCGGAAUUACUGGGCGUAAAGAGUUGCGUAGGUGGCAUAGCAAGUAGAUAGUGAAAGCGUGUGGCUCAACCAUACAUCCAUUAUCUAAACUGUUAAGCUAGAGUAUGAGAGAGGUAGAUGGAAUUCUCUGUGUAGGAGUGAAAUCCGUAGAUAUAGGGAGGAACACCAAUGGCGUAGGCAGUCUACUGGCUCAUUACUGACACUAAGGCACGAAAGCGUGGGGAGCAAACGGG
Molecule: ribosomal RNA, 254 nt
Filed under: uncultured bacterium
Lineage: Bacteria
Description: partial 16S ribosomal RNA
Rfam family: Bacterial small subunit ribosomal RNA
Source: RNAcentral